This 30-nucleotide non-coding RNA is filed under the name Mus musculus (house mouse). The record is from RNAcentral. Lineage: Eukaryota; Metazoa; Chordata; Mammalia; Rodentia; Muridae.
UGUGAGAAUCCACCUUACCCUCUUCGGUCC